This is a non-coding RNA of Peromyscus maniculatus bairdii (prairie deer mouse), 565 nucleotides long. NCBI's taxonomy places the organism in Eukaryota, Metazoa, Chordata, Mammalia, Rodentia, Cricetidae. The record is from RefSeq and is a predicted model, not a curated record.
CUUUUAAUCAGUAUGCUCCUCCCCCGGCAUGGCAGUGACCAGCCACAAGGGGCAACACUGUUUCAUAACCAACAUUGGUGCCAUUCAGACUCAGAUACACCACUGAGCACGGAGGACCUGCUGUGACUGCUGCUGCCUCUUCCCCCAUCCAGGGAGACCACGCGCAUCCCUUGCCGCCUCUGCUAGACCUCCACACUGCUACCACCAUGGUUCUUCACCACAUCAUGGGACAAAGGGGAGGAUACAUUGGCAGAUAGGAGCGGGCACCAGUAAACCUGGCCACAUAACAGAGUUGCGGGAACUUCUGCCAGUGAACGGACAACACGCUGCUCCGACGGCAUGGUCACUGCCCACGGGGCAGCGCCACAGCAUAACAACCAGCCAGGAGGGGCAGCGCUGCAGCAUAACUACCACUGGUGCCGUGACUCGGAUACACCACCAAACACCAAGGACCCGCUGUAACUACUGCUGCCCUUCCCCCAUCCAGCGAGACCGUGAGACUUCGAGCGUGCGCGCAUCCCUUGCUGCCUCCGCUGGACCCCCACCACUACCGCCAUGAUUCUUC